RNAcentral lists this transfer RNA (72 nucleotides) under Heterocephalus glaber (naked mole-rat). Its description in RNAcentral is "tRNA-Ala (AGC) (tRNA-Ala-AGC-11-1)". It matches the Rfam family "tRNA". Rfam says of the family: Transfer RNA (tRNA) molecules are approximately 80 nucleotides in length. Their secondary structure includes four short double-helical elements and three loops (D, anti-codon, and T loops). Further hydrogen bonds mediate the characteristic L-shaped molecular structure. tRNAs have two regions of fundamental functional importance: the anti-codon, which is responsible for specific mRNA codon recognition, and the 3' end, to which the tRNAs corresponding amino acid is attached (by aminoacyl-tRNA synthetases). tRNAs cope with the degeneracy of the genetic code in two manners: having more than one tRNA (with a specific anti-codon) for a particular amino acid; and 'wobble' base-pairing, i.e. permitting non-standard base-pairing at the 3rd anti-codon position. The record is from Rfam by way of RNAcentral. Lineage: Eukaryota; Metazoa; Chordata; Mammalia; Rodentia; Bathyergidae.
GGGGGUGUAGCUCAGUGGUAGACCGCAUGCUUAGCAUGAACGAGGCCCCGGGUUCGAUCCCUGGCACCUCCA